GUCUCUUUGACUCUUUAGUCUAAAGUUCUAGAUGAUCAAAAACCAACCAUAAAAUUUGUCAACUCCAUUGAUAAUUAAUAUUUCUAAAAUCUUAAAGAGGAGCAAAAUCGAUCCGAUAAGCAAAAAAACGGGAUACUACGACGACGACAACAACAACAGUAAUCCGGCAGAUACCUAAAUCAAUCAGACACAACAGUUUUGGAAGCAAUGGCAGUUGAGUUAACACAAGAUGAGUUGAAAAACUUAGGAAAGGUAUGGUUAUCAAUAUUUGUGUCAUUGAUUUAUUGUUAUGUUAUAGGCAAGAUUACUCCAAAGGGUUUCACAAGAUUAGUACCAAUACUUCCAGUAAUCUCAUUCUUCCUAAUUUUGCCACUAAAUCUCACUUCUAUUCAUUUUUGUGGCUUUACUGCAUUCUUCAUUGCUUGGCUUGCUAAUUUCAAACUCUUGCUUUUUGCAUUUGGUAAACCUCCUCUUUGCUUUGAUCAUCCCAUUCCAUAUCCUCUUUUCAUAGCUGUUUCUUGCUUACCCAUCAAAAUCCAACCUCCCAAAAGCACACCAAAGACACAAAUUAACCAAGACCCAGAUCAAAAAUCACAAAACAAUUCAUACCCUUUUCCUCAAAAAUCACAAAAUGAACAAAACCCAGAUCAGAAAUCACAAAAUUAUUCAUACCCAUCUCCUAAAAGAUCCCAAAUUUCACAAAAUGAACAAAACCCAUAUCAAAGAUCACAAAAUAAAUCAUACCCAUCUCCUCUAAAAUCCCAAAUUUCACCUGGGAAUUACCUUACAAAAUUUGUUCUUUUAGCUUUAAUGAUAAAAAUUUAUGAUUACAGGGAUCAAAUUGUUCAAAUUCAUCCAAAAAUUCUAUGGUUAAUUUAUUUUUUCCACAUUUAUUUUACACUAGAAAUAAUCCUAGCAAUUGUUGCGAAAUCAGCAAAUUUUUUCCUAGGCUUAGAAUUAGAACCCCAAUUCAAUGAACCCCUUUUAUCAACAUCUCUCCAAGAUUUCUGGGGAAAAAGAUGGAAUCUCAUGGUAACCAGCAUUCUUAGGCCUACGGUGGACCUCCCCACACUGAAAAUUUCCUCCAGAGUCAUAGGCCGUGGGGCGGCCCCGCUUCCGGCGGUGAUGGCGACGUUCAUUGUGUCGGCGCUAAUGCAUGAGCUCAUCUUCUACUAUCUUGGACGCGUGUGUAGACGCCUACUUUUGUCCCCAUUCCCGAAAGGGAAGGUUCGAUGAUGAGAACAUAAAUCUCCAUUUGGCAACGCAUCUCCUGUAAAAUAACGAAUCUCAAUCGCCCUUUCAUUUCAUCCAAAACUGCUAUUUAUAGAAACCUGCUAAAAAUGGUAAUUGCCGUAAGAAGUAGUUGUUAAAAGUGGCAAAGUCAUAAAAGAUAGAAAUCUGUCAGAAUUAGGUGUUGCCAACAUAAGUCCUAAAAGAGAUAGAAUUGGCAAAAGGAAUUCUAUUCCUGUUAUAAUUCGAAAACAAGAGUUACGUAUUAAUUAAAUUCCUAACGAACCUAGAGUUCGUAACGGGACCAGACGCAUUCCGUCAUAAGUUGAUACGCACUAAGAAACUCGGAUAAGUCUCGAAGCUCCGUGUUUAAGAGUCCAAAUCUGACAAAAAGCUCGGCCCAGAUCCUAUUUUCAACGCCUAGGUCUGGGCGCCGAAAUCUUCGGCGCCCAGCCCUGGGCUCUGAAAAUACCUGGGGCCGUGUCGUCUCCGAAUUCUUUUUGGAUUCGUAUUCUAAAGAUCUAUAUUUUCACAAACUCUUUUCCUAUAAAUAUAGCCUAUAAACCGACGUGAAGAGGACACACAAUUCUAAAGAUCUGAGUAUUGAGUCCAACCCUAAGCCUAAGCCUCACGCUGCGAAAUUGAUCCCGCGUUCUGUCGCAAUCGACCCAAAAGUCGAACAGAACGUAUCAUGUCCCUUGUAGCUGAUGAAUUAAGCCUAAAUACUGGAACACUGCUCAGAAACCCGAGAUUCGUUAAAUAAAAGGAGAAAUAGCAAAGCCAAGUGGUUAGUUUUCUGAGAACCGUGACGCACCUCUCAAGGGUGCGUCGUAAUGUGUCCCUUCAUAUGAUUUAAUCGCUUUCAUCACCCUUUUAUAAAAUUGUUAAACUAUUAAUUUGAUGGAUCUAUCAAGCCUAAUAAAGAUAAUACCUUGGACAAUUGAAUUAUCAUGCUAGGUACCUUAAAUCAAUCUAAAUAAGAUAAUCACGAUCGAUUUAGUAUUAUGUGUUGCAUAUUGCUAAAAGCAAUUCAGAAUAGUUUAAUAGUUUAACGCAUGUCCCUUCAAUUAUUUAUGCUGAGCUAGUAAGGAUAACCUGCCUCUGGAGUUAUCGAUGAGCACUCCUCUCGGUAGUUACAGUCCCCCGAACUCUCAAUCUCUACCAUGCGGGUGUACGUUGAGCGAUCCCCGCACCAGGGAUCACAAGGGAACCUAUGGCCGUCAUGGUCGAACAUAAUUGCACUCCCUUUAUGUCACGAUAACCGGGUUUUGUCAGUUUUUCUCAUUGUCGUUAAAAACUGAAUGGCGACUCCUAUAUUACUAGUCGAUUGGGUGUAAACUCACAGGAAAUCUAACUACACUUGAUCUGACAACGUCACGCCCACGAGGGACGAGGUCAUGCAUUAGCCUCGUGCUUUUUCGACCCCCUCACAGUGGCGACUCCACUUGGGAACGUUAAUGAAAUACUCGUGCUCGUAGGUAAUCAAAAUAGCCGAAGGGUGAAACGAUCCUACUCCACGUUUAUUUCCUUAUCAAGUUGGGACGACCUGAAAAUCAGCAUAUUAAUGCGAACGGACAGAACCGCAUAAUGAAUCUCGGCUCCCUUGGCAUGUUUCAUCUCGGGAGUUGGGACUAAGGAUACCCAUCGACAAUGGGGGUGCAUACGCUUCGAAUGUUGUCCACUCGGCACUUUUCGCUAGUAGUACACCCGUCCCAAACCCAAUCGCUCGCCCACUAAGGUCCCUCUCAUUGGUGCAUGCCCCCUUGGCUUACAUCGUGAUUGGCCUCUUGGGACGAAAUUCGUCUGUUGAAUGCACUACCUCGACCAGGGCAUAUGUUGGAUCUACAAUAGAAGCGGUACCAAGCCAGGCGCAAAUAUUACCCAUAGAAGCCUAUCAUAAACUACGUGACAUAUUAUUUUGCUUCAUGUUGUAAUGUUAGUUAUGUGUAGCGAAUUACGUGAUUAUGUUGUGAUUGUGUGUGACAAGUAAAGCUAGAAAACCAACGACCCUAAAAAUUGCCCAAACAUUCAUAAAACACCGAUUGGCCAAAGAGUUAUACCAAAAUACGUGUUCCUCAACCCCGGGCGAUCGCCACAAAAAUAAGCGAAACAUAGGAUGGCCCGUAACGGAUCCCACAACGCUGCACAACGCGUAAAGGACGUUAUUAGGCAAGCACGCAAAAUUAAGUCGCAUGUACGAAAAAAAAUAUACGCGAACAGAAUACGAGUACCAGGCAGGGACGCAUUUUCAGCGCCCCUGGCUUGGCGCCAAACAUUUUCACGCCCUCUGCUGGGCGCUGAAGUUGCUGCCUGGCCUCUUGGUCAUGCACCGCAGCCUCGGUGCCCGCGCACAAAAUAUACGAAGCAAUAAAAAAUUCAUAACAAAUUUUCUACGAGGGCGUACGGAAAAGGCACUCAAUUCUAAAAACGACUUACAAAAUAAAUAACUCCUUGCGUCGUCAUUAGGCCUCCUAUGACGACAAUGUUCGGCACCAAAACCAAGCAUGCCAAUUAAUAUAACUUUGAAUGUCACGCGGGCAAGUGUUUCGAAAAUCUAAAGAAUGGCCAAAAGAAAAGCCAAAAUAUACCAACAAGAGUGAGAAUAGAAAACCGAUAGGAAGAGUCAAAAGUCUAGACUAAGUAAUGCUUAACUUUGGGCCUAAACUUUAGCUUGUCUUAUGCAUAGGGCUAGUUCUGCCACUUGGCGUCGAUCUGAAAAUUAAAGGUUAGUACGUCUCGAAGAUACAUCACCAACACAAGGUUUAGCAACUCCAAGCUCCAUCCGUCACUCCCCCUUUUAAGGAUCUCCGAUUCCCCAACCUCGAUUCGGACCCUCAAACAUGUCCAUAGAAGAGCUGCGGGACCAAAUGGCCCAAAUGACCCUACUUAUGAAUCAACUGAAAAUGGAAAACGAAUCCUUAGCGGCUGCGCAAGCCAAACAUGACCUCGAUAACGAGAAGAAGAUCGAAAAAAUGGUUCUGCAGCAAACUAUGGGGAGCAAGUAUUUCUCCCUCGAUCCUGAACCUUUUCCCGGCAAACUACCGGAAAAGUUUAGUUCAUCCGACUUACCGAUGUUCAAAGCCACGGACAAUCCCCGUGAUCAUCUCUUGAGCUUUGUGAAUGCCAUGAACUUGAAAGGUGUGGACAAGUCCAUGUAUCUGCCUGCCCUUCCUUUGUCCUUGGAACCUGUGCCACUCAAAUAGUACUACCACCAGGACCCUAAGCUCUUCCCCACUUGGGAGGACUUUGUCAAUGUAUUCAUCAAGCAAUACUCGUCGAACAUGGAUUUUCAAGUCACCAUGCGCGACCUAGAAGUCCUCUUCCAAAAGAAAAAUGAAGGUUUCACGACCUACUUUGCUAGAUGGAGGGACCAAGAGGCCCAACUAAUCAAUAGGCCUCCUUAAACUGAAUUGGUCUAAAAAUUCAUUGACAACCUAGACCCAGCUUAUAAACAACAUCUUAGAUACUUGGGCCUUGAUACCUUCAAGAGGGUUUACGAUGUAGGAAUAAAGAUCGAGGAUGACCUCACAAAAACAGUACAAAGCAAGCCUGCAUACAAAAGUAAUACCUACAACAGGGGCCACACGCCUCAAGCCCAAGAGGUCCACGCCGUAGAAGAAACCCCAACCCGAAGGAGCCCCGAAAGGUGGACCCGAGACCGAAAGUUUGCCCCACUCGGGUCGACUCUAGUACAAGUCUUCCAAAGACUAACCAAACAAGGAAAACUAAGGCCCAUAGGCCCCACACCCGACCCUCCAUUCAAAAAUAAAUACUGGGUCGAGGGCGCCCGCUGCGAGUUCCAUCAAGGAAAUGGGCAUGAUACUGAAAACUGCUGGAAUCUAAAAAACACGAUCCAGGAUAUGAUAGAGGAUGAAAUAAUACCCCUCCCUAACGUUCGCAAACCCAACAACAACAAGAGCCCACUCGGCUCUUGUCACAUCUCUCUCGAUCAACUGGAAAAUAUGAACUUUGACCCUACGGUGUAUAUUACGCCCCAAGGUGCACCACUCGCCAUGGUCCCUAUGGAUCAAAUCGAGAGAGAAGUGUGCGGUGUGUGGGAAGAUGAUGCUGAAGAUAUCUACCUGUCCCAAAUAUCGGGCCAGGACCUCUUUACUGAAACUUGGCCCGGGCACUCUCCCAUUGACACCACCCCUCAAGAGCCCGAAGUUGACAAUCUCACUCGGUCCGGAAGGGUAUACCAACAGGAUAUUCGCCCACCUCCCGGGGACGACAUCCCAGUCAGACAUACUCCUGAAAACGUGCGUCACACCACCGUCGCAGAAGUCAUCGAAAAUCCUCUCUUGAAGCAACUAAAAAGAACCAAAGCCGAGAUUACCAUCUGGGAUCUCAUGUGCACUUCAAAGGAACAUCGCAAAAAACUUAUUCGCUCACUUGACCUCAUCUCAGUCCCUACGGACAUCACACCUGACUUGUUGGUUAGCCACGUCACGAGAGAUGUUGAGGAAAAAGCAAUAGUUUUUACUGACAAAGACUUACCUAAAGAAGGAGGCGCCCACAAUAAGGCUCUUUAUCUAGUGGUUGGAUGCAAAGGACAAAACAUCCCCCUAGCACUCGUAGAUAACGGUUCGGCGGUAAAUGUUUGCCCAUUGCGAACCGCCCAUUGCUUGGGGCUAGGAAAUAAUGACUUCCAAACCUCCACGCAAGGGGUGCGAGCCUAUGAUAACUCUCGAAGGCCCGCGUUGGGAAAAAUCAACCUCACAAUACAAACCGGGCCUGUGGCACGCACCACGGAGUUUCAGAUAAUUGACAUCACGCCCAUUUUCAACCUCCUCUUAAGGCGCCCUUGGCUCCAUGACUUAGGAGGUGUGGCUUCUACCUUACACCAGAUGGUUAAACUUAACCAUAACGGGGUAAUUCUGGAAAUACGCGCCCCUCCUCUUGACGUCAGUUGUACUAUGGUCGGAACGACCGAUGCUGCAAAAGACCUUUACGGUUUUCAAGUGGAUGAAGUCAUCCAAGUCAUUGAGGACUACAAUUUAGCAUUUCUAGAUCCGCGAGCGUCCCGGGUCAUCCCUAAAAUGUUGCUAGCUCAAGGCUAUUUCCUGGGAACUCCAUUGGGCAUAAGGAAGAAGAACAACAUGUUCCAUCCCCCACCCAACAAAACUACUCCCUUUGGUCUAGUCUAUACACCAACGGAGGAAGAUAUUGCUGCCACUUGUCUAGGCUACGCCUUAAGCCAGCCAAGACAAAACAAACCACCCUUCUUCCCCCAUGCCAAAGAACCCUCAACGGUAUGUUUGUCCGAGAAGGAGAAGAACACCCAUGCUGCGACCUCCCUGAACCCUUUGUUCAGAAUGGCCUGCUAAAACCCGGAUUUGAGAUUUUCCAUGACUGUCAUACUAUGGAUGAGGCACCCCACCUCACCAAGACUGAAACAGCUGAAAUAUUAAACAACCAAGUGAAGGAAAUAGUGCCCUUGGUCCAAGUAUGCAUUUAAUGAUAAGUCUAAUAAAUGCGGUUCAGUAUUAAUUAACAAGUUAAUAAAUUCAGUGAGAUCAAGUGAGCUGAAUGCCUAGCUAGAGGCCGCUUCAGUUCAAGUGGAAUUAAUGAUAUUAAUCCACAGCUUACUCUUGACUGGACCCGUAGGGUCACACAAAUAGUACGUAAACGGAUCAAGUAUUAAUGGCAUUAAAUACUCCAUCUAUGGAUAUUCGGGAUCGACGGAUCUUGGUUUCAGUGGGAGCUAAGAUCGUCAAAGGCAAGUAAAUGAAUACUCCGGAAACGAUGAUAUUGCCGGAAACGGAAAUAUGGAUCGUAUCGGAAAUAUAAAUAUUAUCCAAGUCGUAGAUGUUGCCGGAAACGGAAACAUGGUACGUAUCGGAAAAUAUUAUCGGAAAUGGAAAUAUUGCCGAAAUCGGAAAUAUUACCGGAAACGGAAAUAUUGUCAGAAUCGGAAAUAUUAUCGGAAUCGGAAAAUAAUUCCGGAAACGGAAAUAUUAAAUAUUUGUUCGAAACGUAAAUUUAUUCCGGAAUCGGAAAUAUUAAAUAUUGUUCGUAUCGGAAAUAAAUUCCAGAAUCGGGAAUUUAAUCGGAAGCGUAUCGUACGAAUUAGCAUCGGACGAGGCCUGCCAGACGAAGGCCCAGCACGAAGCCGGACCAUCGCCCAGCAAACCACACGCAUCAAUUACACACAGCCAAGCCCCGCCAAACCCAGCGCAAGGCCAGGCCCAGCAAGGCCUUGGCGCGCACGGAGCAAUAUGGGCUGCAACAUUUGGGCUGCGAGCGAGUGCAGCUCGCGUGGGCCGCAAGGCUUGCGCGGGUGGUGCUCGUGUUCGUGCUCGUGUACGGUUGUGUGCAAUACAAAUCCUAAAGCUAUUAGAAUUUGUUCCAUGAUUAAAUCCUAAUCCUAGUAGAUAGAUUUUAUUUAAUAAGAGUCCUAACAGGAUUCUAAUUAAACUAAAUUGGUAUUCUAAUAGGAUUCUAAGUCCUUUUCCAUAACUCUAUAAAUAUGUGCCUAGGGUCAAAAAUUUAUUGACGUAAGAUUCAAGUAUUCAAAGGUAAGAUUUUCAAGCAAAAAUCAGCCACAAACACUUGCCCUAUAAGCCGAAAAUUCUUAGAACCUUAAGGGCGAUUCUAGUUGGUCAAGCUUAAGGCGGAUCCGGACGUGCUGUGGACUAUCUACGGAGGGACGACACUUGGAGUCCUAAAGACUUGUUCUUGUUCGGUUCGGGCGCAGCUAGGGAGUGCACGCUACAAAGUGUAUGCAUCUGAAUUAUGCUAAAUGAUUAUGUGUAAAUAAUAAAUUUCCUGGCAUUAAGGUUUUCCGCAUGAUUUAUGUUUUGUCAUAUGUAUCAUAACCUAACAGUGGUAUCAAGAGCCUCUUAUUAUUUACAUAAUCUAAAUUGCAUGACAUGGUUAAAUUUUACAAAUUUGCAAAGAAUUAAAAGGGGUGAUUAAUUUUCGUAAUUGAUUAAUUGCAAAUUGCGUUUAUUUAAUUAUAUGUACGCAGUUUUUCGGCAGUUUCUUCGUUACUCAUCCAAAUCGAGUAAUUUUUGUGUCAACUCCGCAUGUAAAAGGCAUUCUAAAAUUUUGACAAAAACAGUAUUUUUCGGCCGAACCCAGAAUUCCCAAAUUCGAAGCCUAACUAUUACUUGUCGGAGGUUUUAGUUUUUCGAACGCAAAAGUUUGUGUUAAAUUGAAUAUUUGCGAUUCUUGUUGAUAAAUCUUGAGUUUUUGAUUGA
This is an RNA transcript of Spinacia oleracea (spinach), 8432 nucleotides long. RefSeq lists it as uncharacterized. The record is from RefSeq and is a predicted model, not a curated record. NCBI's taxonomy places the organism in Eukaryota, Viridiplantae, Streptophyta, Magnoliopsida, Caryophyllales, Amaranthaceae. The transcript is spliced from 2 exons.